Molecule: ribosomal RNA, 301 nt
Filed under: uncultured bacterium
Lineage: Bacteria
Description: partial 16S ribosomal RNA
Rfam family: Bacterial small subunit ribosomal RNA
Source: RNAcentral
CAGUCGCCGCGGUAAGACGAACCGUGCGAACGUUAUUCGGAAUUACUGGGCUUAAAGCGCGUGUAGGCGGGCCGCCACGUCGGUCGCUGAAAUCCCCCGGCUCAACCGGGGAAGUGGCAUCGAUACGAGCAGCCUUGAGGGGGGUAGGGGGAUCUGGAACUUCCGGUGGAGCGGUGAAAUGCGUUGAGAUCGGAAAGAACACCAACGGCGAAAGCACUCUGCUGGGCCGACACUGACACUGAGAGACGAAAGCUAGGGGAGCAAAUGGGAUUAGAUACCCCGGUAGUCCCUGUCUCUUAUA